AAUUAUCUGAGGAGGGGGACAUUAAACGGAAAUGUGGCUGAAAGGUGGUUAAAUAAAUAAUUAUUCGUUUAAAGGCUUAUCCGGCUUAGUGUAGACAUAGCCUUUAGUUUUACUGUGCGGGGCUUUCGCCGUCUUUGUGCGCCCGGAUAAAGACGUCUUCGGAGUAAUGGCUCCCCCUCGUGGCGUCAAUCAGGCCAGGUGACCGGAUGAUUCCUCCUGGCGGCAACGUGACCGUGGAGGAGAGCAGGUGCCGGAACAAGGCCGAGCAGAACUAUGACGCUGGGAAUAGAGAAUUAAUUAUUGGUGGUCCACGAGGCCCUGGCUGAAUGGAGACAAUGGCGUGAAGGAGCUAGACACCAGUUCCAGAUCCUGACCGAUCACAGCAACCUUCUGCACAUACGAGCUGCCAAAAGACUCAACAACCGCCAGGCAAAGUGGCAGCAGUUUUUCUCCCACUUCAAUUACAUUCUCUCUUUCAGGCCUGGGUCCAAGAACACUAAGGCUGACGCACUAUCCCGGUUAUUCGUGAAAUAGACCACCUGUCCGUCAGCCGCGGAGCCCAUCCUUCCUUCCACUCGCAUUGUUGGAAUGGUGACUUGGAAGGUGGAGGAUCUGGUCAAGUCUGCGCUGCACGCCAAUCCAGGACCGAGAGGUGGACCAUCCUGCAAGCUCUAUGUCCAUCGGAAGCUACGACCUAGGGUCCUGGAUUGGGGGUACUCCAGUCUGUUCUCUUCUCAUCCAGCCUUUCAAAGAUCCCUAUCGCUGCUGCGAAGACGUUUUUGGUGGCCAUCCAUGGCCAAGGAAACUCGUGAGUUCAUCGCUGCUUGUUCUACUUGUGCCCGUAGUAAGACGUCACACAGGCCUCUUGCUGGUUUCCUUCGCCCUCUCUCCAUUCCUGCCCGUCCUUGGUCACACAUCGCCCUGGAUAUCGUCACAGAAUUUCCAACCUCCAGAGGUAACACCACCAUUCUAACUAUUGUUGACCAUUUCUCCAAGGCCGCCCACUUCAUUCCUCUGCGCAAGUUACCUUCUGCCUCAGAGACGUCUGAUCUUCUCACACUACACGUCGUCAAGCAACAUGGUGUCUGACCAAGGUCCUCAGUUUACGUCACAAAUAUGGAGAGCCUUCUGCAAGGGAAUCGGGGCCUUGGUCAGCCUCACAUCGGGAUACCAUCCCCAGAGCAAUGGGCUAGCUGAGAGGGCGAACCGAAGCUUGGAGACCAUGCUACGCUGGGUCGCCAGUCGUCAACCCACGUCCUGGAGCAAGUUUUUACCUUGGGUGGAGUUUUCCUACAACUCCUUGAAGAGCUCCGGGCUCAUAUUAGGCGGUGUCAGAGGGUGUGGAGAGCCGCUCGUGCGGCCUUAGAGAAGGCUUCCGAGAGGAUGUGCCGCAAGGCCAAACGUCAUCGCAUUCCAGCCCCGUCCGAUGAGCCAGGACCACAAGUUAUGCUACUCACGAAGGACCUCAGCCUCCAGCGACACCCAGAGGUCCAUGUGUCCCAGAUUAAGCUGGUAGCAGAGAGCGCGCUGUCCCUCCCGGCCCCUGCACCCCCACCCUCGAGGUUUUUGCCGAACGGAGAUCAGGUUUGGAUGGUCAAGGAAAUCCUCAGGGUCCGUCGACAAGGUAGGGGGCUCGUUUAUCUGGUAGACUGGGAGAGAUAUGGGCCACAAGACAGAUCUCGGGGUCCUGCCUCCAAUCUUGCCGAACCCCUAUCUUCUGGAGGAUUUCUACCGUGCCAAACCUGAUGCUCCCUGGCGCUCGUCGGGGGCCUCGGUGGCUGGAGCUGCGAGCGCCUCCGCUGACAGUGCGCUCAGAAAUGGCCCCACUCGUGCUGAGCGCAGCACGCCCACGCAGAAACGAGCCUGCACAAUGAUCUACACACCUGGACUUGAUGAAAGGGAGCAGCAUAAAGACCAUCCGACCCGAGGAACCUUUGCCAGAUCGUCGCUAAUCUUCCCAUGACUCCACUGUCUUCCGUGAUCGUACCUUGCCUCUCGACAUCCAUCCGGAUUUCUGACUGCCUUCCUCGAUCCACGACCUCCCUGCUCGAACCCAGACCAUGCUGCCUCGCUCGUGCCUCCGACCUCUUACCUGCUCACCAACUGCCUCUUCGCCUUGCCCCUCUGGAUUCGACGAAAGAUACAGCCAACACUCACGGACAACAAACCCUGGUCUGGUGGCCAUGGAUGAAGUGCUGGCCGUCCAGAGUCGGGACCCGGGAUGGACCGCUCGCCUGUGCAUCGGUUGGGGACAUCUCUGCACUGCUGACCAGUUUCCGCUUGGGAUGGUUUCCUGCUGGCUGUACUACGGACGGGACUCUCGCUACUAUAUUUGAUCCACUAUGGACUGGACUCUCACCCUUAUGUUAGAUCCACUAUGGACUGGACUUUCACAAUAUCAUGUUAGACCCGCUCGACAUCCAUUGCUUUCGGUCACCCCUAGAGGGGGCGGGGGAGCGGUCCUCUCCAUGGUUUCUGAUAGUCAGUCACCGACGUCCCACUGGGGUGAGUUUUUCCUUGCCCUUAUGUGGGCUCUGUACCGUGGAUGUCGUGGCUUGUGCAGCCCUUUGAGACACUUGUGAUUUAGGGCUAUAUAAAUAAACAUUGAUUGAUUGAUUGAUUGAUUGAUGGAGAGGAUAAAUGUCUGACUGAUCAGACCAGUUGGGAUUGAUUGAAUUUCCUGAGAACACAAGGACUUUGAUGCGUUUAUCUAAAGACACUCAAACUACACACUGGAAAAAGUGACAUGAUGUCAUGACUCCUUAAUGUUGAAAGAACAUUUA
Long non-coding RNA from Nerophis ophidion (straightnose pipefish), 2783 nucleotides. RefSeq lists it as uncharacterized. The record is from RefSeq and is a predicted model, not a curated record. The transcript has 6 exons. Lineage: Eukaryota; Metazoa; Chordata; Actinopteri; Syngnathiformes; Syngnathidae.